This 522-nucleotide ribosomal RNA is filed under the name Hypergerus atriceps. RNAcentral's name for it is "partial 16S ribosomal RNA". It matches the Rfam family "Bacterial large subunit ribosomal RNA", at positions 1849 to 2575 of the family's 2925-position model. The record is from RNAcentral. Lineage: Eukaryota; Metazoa; Chordata; Aves; Passeriformes; Cisticolidae.
AAGGUGAUGCCUGCCCGGUGACAUGACGUUUAACGGCCGCGGUAUCCUGACCGUGCGAAGGUAGCGCAAUCAAUUGUCCCGUAAAUCGGGACACGUAUGAAUGGCUAAACGAGGUCUUAACUGUCUCUUACAGGCAAUCGGUGAAAUUGAUCUCCCUGUGCAAAAGCAGGGAUAACCACAUAAGACGAGAAGACCCUGUGGAACUUUAAAAACAGCAACCACCCCAAAAUACAUACUCUUCCCCCACUCGGGCUCACUACCUUUUGGGACGAUGGUCUGCAUUUUUUCGGUUGGGGCGACCUUGGAGCAAAACAAAACCUCCAAACAUGGGACCAAACCUCCAGACUAAGAGCAACUACUCAAAGUGCUAAUAGCCACCAGAUCCAAUAUAAUUGACCAAUGGACCAAGCUACCCCAGGGAUAACAGCGCAAUCUCCUCCAAGAGUCCAUAUCGACGGGGAGGUUUACGACCUCGAUGUUGGAUCAGGACAUCCUAGCGGUGCAGCAGCUACUAAGGGUUCG